ACGAACGCUGGCGGCAGGCUUAACACAUGCAAGUCGAACGAUGUAGCAAUACAUAGUGGCGCACGGGUGAGUAACGCGUGGGAACGUGCCCUUUGGUACGGAAUAACAGUUGGAAACGACUGCUAAUACCGUAUACGCCCUUCGGGGGAAAGAUUUAUCGCCAAAGGAUCGGCCCGCGUCAGAUUAGCUAGUUGGUGAGGUAAUGGCUCACCAAGGCUCCGAUCUGUAGCUGUUCUGAGAGGAAGAUCAGCCACACUGGAACUGAGACACGGUCCAGACUCCUACGGGAGGCAGCAGUGGGGAAUAUUGGACAAUGGGGGAAACCCUGAUCCAGCCAUGCCGCGUGAGUGAUGAAGGCCUUAGGGUUGUAAAGCUCUUUUGGCGGGGAAGAUGAUGACGGUACCCGCAGAAUAAGCACCGGCUAACUUCGU
This 431-nucleotide ribosomal RNA is filed under the name uncultured bacterium. RNAcentral describes it as "bacterial SSU rRNA". It matches the Rfam family "Bacterial small subunit ribosomal RNA", at positions 29 to 506 of the family's 1533-position model. The record is from RNAcentral.